Molecule: ribosomal RNA, 481 nt
Filed under: uncultured bacterium
Lineage: Bacteria
Description: bacterial SSU rRNA
Rfam family: Bacterial small subunit ribosomal RNA
Source: RNAcentral
GAUGAACGCUAGCGGCAGGCCUAAUACAUGCAAGUCGAACGGUAGAUCGGGUAGCAAUACUUGAUUGAGAGUGACGUAAGGGUGCGUAACACGUAUGCAAUCUACCCUCAACAGGAGUAUAGCUCGGGGAAACUCGGAUUAACACUCCAUAACAUUACGAUGUGGCAUCACAUUGUGAUUAAAACUCCGGUGGUUGAGGAUGAGCAUGCGUCUGAUUAGUUAGUUGGAGGUGUAACGGACCCCCAAGACGAUGAUCAGUAGGGGAACUGAGAGGUUGAUCCCCCACACUGGCACUGAGAUACGGGCCAGACUCCUACGGGAGGCAGCAGUAGGGAAUAUUGGUCAAUGGGUGAGAGCCUGAACCAGCCAUGCCGCGUGCAGGAAGACGGCCUUCUGGGUUGUAAACUGCUUUUAUCUGGGGAUAAAAAGCCCAUGCGUGGGACAUUGAAGGUACCAGAUGAGUAAGCACCGGCUAACUACG